GGAUUGGUUGCGUUUGAAUGGAAUAGCAAGAGCACCACCACCACUUUCACCAAGCUCGUCAAGGUCCUCCGCAACAGCAGCGGCCGCCGCCGUCGUCGUUUCUGCCUCCGUCAUUGGUCUCAUUCUCGCUGGCGUCGUCUAUGGGGGAGCAAACAGAAACUCAAGUCCCCAUCCAGACGCAAAUUCAUCAUCCUCCUCAUCCCCCACCCCUAGUAUCAGCCCUCAAAUCAGUCCCAAACUCAACCCCAAGCUACAAUCCAGACACAAUCCCAGUCCCAUCUCCAAAUCCAAUCUCAUCAGACUCAACUCCAACCUCAGCCCCCGCCCGACAAUAUUCGUCAGCUUCUGCCUAAAGCCAAGAGGUAUACGCCACAACCGCCGUCGCUCUGCCGCCGAAUUUCUCCUCGGCAUCUAAGAUCCUCUUCCGGCCUAGAAAGAUCAGGAAAGGUCUCUGCUGACGUUCUCUACGGACAAUUCCGAAAGUGAUGUUCACAACAGAAAGGAGAGAGCUGAACUACAAGAAACUCUGGUCAGGAACUGAAAAGAACAUCACCAUCCCCAACCUUCCACAAAGGAUACAUCUGCUAUGGGUUGAGGAGGACCAAAUUUUCAAUAUGGAGAUCGCCCAGAGCAUGUAAUGGUAUGUUCACUUCCUCUUUUGCUGAUUUAAAUGGGUUCAAAUUUAAUUCAAAAGAGAUAAGGAUAGGAAGGGCAGGAGAAAGGAAGAGAGGGAGAGAGAGACACACACACACACACACACACACAAAAGCCAUUAUGUCUCCCCUAUGUCACUACUCUAUAUUGUAGAUUGUUCAAAUAAAUGGAAAGCCUCUUCUUGGAUAUGAAA
Long non-coding RNA from Macadamia integrifolia, 847 nucleotides. RefSeq lists it as uncharacterized. The record is from RefSeq and is a predicted model, not a curated record. The transcript is spliced from 3 exons. NCBI's taxonomy places the organism in Eukaryota, Viridiplantae, Streptophyta, Magnoliopsida, Proteales, Proteaceae.